UGAACUUUAAGUUAUAUAAACUAAGAGCCUUCCAAGCUCCACAAAAGAAAUUCUUAAGUUCAA
RNAcentral lists this transfer RNA (63 nucleotides) under Pseudoniphargus sp. 1-Azores. RNAcentral's name for it is "tRNA-Gly". Lineage: Eukaryota; Metazoa; Arthropoda; Malacostraca; Amphipoda; Allocrangonyctidae. The record is from RNAcentral.